Molecule: long non-coding RNA, 280 nt
Filed under: Lathyrus oleraceus (garden pea)
Lineage: Eukaryota; Viridiplantae; Streptophyta; Magnoliopsida; Fabales; Fabaceae
Description: Pisum sativum (pea) long non-coding RNA (PSAT_LNC015600)
Source: RNAcentral
AAGCACUUGAAUAAUUGGCGUACGCCAUAUUGCGCGAGUUCUUGUCACCCGAUUAAAUCUUAAAUCACACAAUUUCAAAUCACUUUUCAAAAUUAAAUAUAAUUUCCAAAUUCAAAUUAUUCAAACCAUGACACUUCAAAUCAUAAUAUUUCAAAUCAUUUCUACAAAUUCCAAAUUCUUUUAAUUAUUUCCGAUAAUUAAGGAUAUGAGGCGUACGCCUCAUUAUCAUUCGAUUAUUCGAAUAAUUGGCGUACGCCACAUUGCUCGAAUCUUCGUCAUC